ACUCAAAUGAAUAGACGGGGAGCUGCACAAGCGGUGGAGUGUGUUGUUUAAUUCGAUGGUAAGCGAAGAACCUUACCAAGGCUUGACAUCCUGGGAAUUAUGUCGAAAGACGUGAGUGCCUUCGGGAACCCAGUGACAGGUGUUGCAUGGCCGUCUUCAGCUCGUGUCGUGAGAUGUUAGGUUAAGUCCUUCAACGAGCGCAACCCUUAUGGUUAGUUGUAUUUUUCUAGCCAGACUGCCCCGGUAACGGGGAGGAAGGAGGGGAUGAUGUCAGGUCAGUAUUACCCUUACGCCUUGGGCUACAAACGCACUACAAUGGCCGGUACAAUGGGCAGCCAAGUCGCGAGACGGAGCAAAUCCCACCAAAGCCGGUCCCAAUUCGGAUUGCAGGCUGAAACUCGCCUGCAUGAAGCCGGAAUCGCUAGUAAUCGCAGAUCAGCAUGCUGCGGUGAAUACGUUCCCAGCUCUUGUACACACCGCCCGU
RNAcentral lists this ribosomal RNA (484 nucleotides) under uncultured bacterium. Its description in RNAcentral is "partial 16S ribosomal RNA". It matches the Rfam family "Bacterial small subunit ribosomal RNA", at positions 899 to 1397 of the family's 1533-position model. The record is from RNAcentral.